This 946-nucleotide ribosomal RNA is filed under the name uncultured bacterium. Its description in RNAcentral is "bacterial SSU rRNA". It matches the Rfam family "Bacterial small subunit ribosomal RNA", at positions 8 to 933 of the family's 1533-position model. The record is from RNAcentral.
AGAGUUUGAUCCUGGCUCAGAACGAACGCUGGCGGCAUGCCUAACACAUGCAAGUCGCACGAGAAGUCGUAGCAAUACGAUUGUAAAGUGGCGCACGGGUGAGUAACACGUAGAUGAUCUGUCCAUGAAACGGGGACAACCUUUAGAAAUGAAGGCUAAUUCCCGAUACGCUCUAGCGGCGGUAACAAAGCUAGAGGAAAGCGGACCUCUGUUCUAAGUUCGCGAUCAUGGAGGAGUCUGCGUCCCAUCAGCUAGUUGGUAGGGUAACGGCCUACCAAGGCUAUGACGGGUAGCUGGUCUGAGAGGACGAUCAGCCACACUGGGACUGAGACACGGCCCAGACUCCUACGGGAGGCAGCAGUGGGGAAUAUUGGACAAUGGGGGAAACCCUGAUCCAGCAAUGCCGUGUGAAGGAAGAAGGCCCUUGGGUCGUAAACUUCUGUCGGUGGGGAAGAAGGUAAUGUGGUGAAUAAUCAUAUUGCUUGACGGUACCCGCAAAGGAAGCACCGGCUAACUCCGUGCCAGCAGCCGCGGUAAUACGGAGGGUGCAAGCGUUGUUCGGAAUUACUGGGCGUAAAGCGUGUCUAGGUGGAUAGACAAGUCUCGUGUGAAAGGCUACGGCUCAACCGUAGCACUGCGCGAGAAACUGUUUGUCUUGAGAUAUAGAGGGGUGAGCGGAAUUCUUGGUGUAGCAGUGAAAUGCGUAGAUAUCAAGAGGAACAUCAGAGGCGAAAGCGGCUCACUGGCUAUGGUCUGACACUGAAGCACGAAAGCGUGGGUAGCAAACGGGAUUAGAUACCCCGGUAGUCCACGCGGUAAACGAUGGGUACUAGUUGUUAGGGGACUUGACCCCCUUAGUGACGCAGCUAACGCGAUAAGUACCCCGCCUGGGAAGUACGGUCGCAGAUUAAAACUCAAAGAAAUUGACGGGGGCCGCACAAGCGUG